This 497-nucleotide ribosomal RNA is filed under the name uncultured bacterium. RNAcentral describes it as "partial 16S ribosomal RNA". It matches the Rfam family "Bacterial small subunit ribosomal RNA", at positions 28 to 507 of the family's 1533-position model. The record is from RNAcentral.
GAUGAACGCUGGCGGCGUGCCUAAUACAUGCAAGUCGAGCGAACAGACGAGGAGCUUGCUCCUCUGACGUUAGCGGCGGACGGGUGAGUAACACGUGGAUAACCUACCUAUAAGACUGGGAUAACUUCGGGAAACCGGAGCUAAUACCGGAUAAUAUAUUGAACCGCAUGGUUCAAUAGUGAAAGACGUUUUUGCUUUCACUUAUAGAUGGAUCCGCGCCGCAUUAGCUAGUUGGUAAGGUAACGGCUUACCAAGGCAACGAUGCGUAGCCGACCUGAGAGGGUGAUCGGCCACACUGGAACUGAGACACGGUCCAGACUCCUACGGGAGGCAGCAGUAGGGAAUCUUCCGCAAUGGGCGAAAGCCUGACGGAGCAACGCCGCGUGAGUGAUGAAGGUCUUCGGAUCGUAAAACUCUGUUAUUAGGGAAGAACAAAUGUGUAAGUAACUAUGCACGUCUUGACGGUACCUAAUCAGAAAGCCACGGCUAACUACGUG